RNAcentral lists this non-coding RNA (196 nucleotides) under Pseudomonas sp. Lineage: Bacteria; Pseudomonadati; Pseudomonadota; Gammaproteobacteria; Pseudomonadales; Pseudomonadaceae. The record is from RNAcentral.
ACUACCAUGCCGGCCGCCGGUUUCCACAUGGGAUUAAUAGGGAAUCCGAGAUGCCCGACACGGCAUCAAUCGGAACUGCCCCCGCAACUGUAGGUGCUGAGCCUGCUCCUGAACUGCCACUGGGAUCACUCCCGGGAAGGCUGGAGCCAGGCGAUGACGCAUCAGUCAGGAGACCUGCCGGCCAAGCAAAUCACUA